CAGCAGCCGCGGUAACACGUAGGGUGCAAGCGUUAAUCGGAAUUACUGGGCGUAAAGCGUGCGCAGGCGGUUAUAUAAGACAGAUGUGAAAUCCCCGGGCUCAACCUGGGAACUGCAUUUGUGACUGUAUAGCUAGAGUACGGCAGAGGGGGAUGGAAUUCCGCGUGUAGCAGUGAAAUGCGUAGAUAUGCGGAGGAACACCGAUGGCGAAGGCAAUCCCCUGGGCCUGUACUGACGCUCAUGCACGAAAGCGUGGGGAGCAAACAGGAUUAGAUACCCGCGUAGUCCCUGUCUCUUAUAA
RNAcentral lists this ribosomal RNA (301 nucleotides) under uncultured bacterium. Its description in RNAcentral is "partial 16S ribosomal RNA". It matches the Rfam family "Bacterial small subunit ribosomal RNA", at positions 509 to 809 of the family's 1533-position model. The record is from RNAcentral.